ANNCAUGCAGUCGAGCGCNCCCUUCGGGGUGAGCGGCGGACGGGUUAGUAACGCGUGGGAAUAUACCCGACACUAAGGAAUAGCCUCUGGAAACGGAGAGUAAUACCUUAUACGCCCUUCGGGGGAAAGAUUUAUCGGUGACGGAUUAGCCCGCGUUAGAUUAGAUAGUUGGUGGGGUAAUGGCCUACCAAGUCUACGAUCUAUAGCUGGUUUUAGAGGAUGAUCAGCAACACUGGGACUGAGACACGGCCCAGACUCCUACGGGAGGCAGCAGUGGGGAAUCUUGGACAAUGGGCGCAAGCCUGAUCCAGCCAUGCCGCGUGAGUGAUGAAGGCCUUAGGGUCGUAAAGCUCUUUCGCCAGAGAUGAUAAUGACAGUAUCUGGUAAAGAAACCCCGGCUAACUCCGUGCCAGCAGCCGCGGUAAUACGGAGGGGGUUAGCGUUGUUCGGAAUUACUGGGCGUAAAGCGCGCGUAGGCGGAUUAGUAAGUUAGAGGUGAAAUCCCGGGGCUCAACCCCGGAACUGCCUUUAAUACUGCUAGUCUUGAGUUCGAGAGAGGUGAGUGGAAUUCCGAGUGUAGAGGUGAAAUUCGUAGAUAUUCGGAGGAACACCAGUGGCGAAGGCGGCUCACUGGCUCGAUACUGACNCUGAGUGCAAAGUGUGGGAGCAAACAGGAUAAAUACCUGGGUAUCCA
Molecule: ribosomal RNA, 694 nt
Filed under: uncultured bacterium
Lineage: Bacteria
Description: bacterial SSU rRNA
Rfam family: Bacterial small subunit ribosomal RNA
Source: RNAcentral